UGUCUGUAGGGCUGAGCAAUAAGUCAAUAUUUAUCAUCUACUAACUAUCAUUGUGAUCAUACCACAGUAUUUUCUAUAUUGGAAAACAUUAUGCACUUUUGUCUGAGAUAACAAUGGAAAACAAUUUGAAGUUAGAUUUCUCCCAGCUGCCCAAAGUGGGAAACUACUAAACAAUCUGUUGUUUUUCAUAUAUAAACAGGUAUCAAAACAAUCACUGAUUUGGUGAUGACCUUCUGGUUUCUUUUCCAUUUUACCCAGCCACACUUCUCCAUGUUUUCAGAAAGACUAAAGGCCCAGUCCACAUGUACACGUUUUUUUUCUUUUUUUUUUUUUUUUUAAAUGUUGCCUUUUUAAUUACAUUUUA
Long non-coding RNA from Sander lucioperca (pikeperch), 364 nucleotides. RefSeq lists it as uncharacterized. NCBI's taxonomy places the organism in Eukaryota, Metazoa, Chordata, Actinopteri, Perciformes, Percidae. The record is from RefSeq and is a predicted model, not a curated record. The transcript has 3 exons.